AAAGUCGUAACAAGGUUUCCGUAGGUGAACCUGCGGAAGGAUCAUUAUCGUGGGGAUUCGUCCCCUCUAGAUAGACACCCUUUGUUUAUGAGUACCAAUUGUUUCCUCGGCGGGCUUGCUCGCCGUUGGACUGCCAAAAACCUUUGUAGUAGUAGUAUCUUCAGUAAAAAAACAAAUAUUAAAACUUUCAACAACGGAUCUCUUGGUUCUG
Molecule: unclassified non-coding RNA, 211 nt
Filed under: Ascomycota sp.
Lineage: Eukaryota; Fungi; Ascomycota
Description: partial contains small subunit ribosomal RNA, internal transcribed spacer 1, and 5.8S ribosomal RNA
Rfam family: Eukaryotic small subunit ribosomal RNA (bases 1-47)
Source: RNAcentral